UACGUAGGGUCCGAGCGUUGUCCGGAGUUACUGGGCGUAAAGCGUGCGCAGGCGGUUUUGUAAGUCUGUCGUGAAAUCCCCGGGCUCAACCUGGGAAUUGCGAUGGAGACUGCAAGGCUCGAGUCCGGGAGAGGGGGGUGGAAUUCCCAGUGUAGCGGUGAAAUGCGUAGAUAUUGGGAGGAACACCGGUGGCGAAGGCGGCCCCCUGGACCGGUACUGACGCUGAGGCGCGAAAGCGUGGGUAGCAAACGGG
This 253-nucleotide ribosomal RNA is filed under the name uncultured bacterium. Its description in RNAcentral is "partial 16S ribosomal RNA". It matches the Rfam family "Bacterial small subunit ribosomal RNA", at positions 524 to 776 of the family's 1533-position model. The record is from RNAcentral.